RNAcentral lists this transfer RNA (74 nucleotides) under Cytospora mali. Its description in RNAcentral is "tRNA-Ile (AAT) (tRNA-Ile-AAT-1 1 to 7)". It matches the Rfam family "tRNA". From Rfam's summary of the family: Transfer RNA (tRNA) molecules are approximately 80 nucleotides in length. Their secondary structure includes four short double-helical elements and three loops (D, anti-codon, and T loops). Further hydrogen bonds mediate the characteristic L-shaped molecular structure. tRNAs have two regions of fundamental functional importance: the anti-codon, which is responsible for specific mRNA codon recognition, and the 3' end, to which the tRNAs corresponding amino acid is attached (by aminoacyl-tRNA synthetases). tRNAs cope with the degeneracy of the genetic code in two manners: having more than one tRNA (with a specific anti-codon) for a particular amino acid; and 'wobble' base-pairing, i.e. permitting non-standard base-pairing at the 3rd anti-codon position. The record is from RNAcentral. Lineage: Eukaryota; Fungi; Ascomycota; Sordariomycetes; Diaporthales; Cytosporaceae.
GGUCCCGUAGCUCAGCUGGUUAGAGCGUCGUACUAAUAAUGCGAAGGUCGCGAGUUCGAUCCUCUCCGGGACCA